RNAcentral lists this ribosomal RNA (259 nucleotides) under uncultured Oscillospiraceae bacterium. RNAcentral's name for it is "partial 16S ribosomal RNA". It matches the Rfam family "Bacterial small subunit ribosomal RNA", at positions 80 to 339 of the family's 1533-position model. The record is from RNAcentral. Lineage: Bacteria; Bacillati; Bacillota; Clostridia; Eubacteriales; Oscillospiraceae.
CAAGGGACUGACUUAGUGGCGAACGGGUGAGUAACGCGUGAGCAACCUGCCUUUCAGUGGGGGACAACAGUUGGAAACGACUGCUAAUACCGCAUGAAGCAUAAUGAUCGCAUGGUCGAUAUGCCAAAGAUUUAUUGCUGAAAGAUGGGCUCGCGUCUGAUUAGAUAGUUGGUGAGGUAACGGCCCACCAAGUCGACGAUCAGUAGCCGGACUGAGAGGUUGAACGGCCACAUUGGGACUGAGAUACGGCCCAGACUCC